UUAAGCGACUAAGCGUACACGGUGGAUGCCCUGGCAGUCAGAGGCGAUGAAGGACGUGCUAAUCUGCGAAAAGCGUCGGUAAGGUGAUAUGAACCGUUAUAACCGGCGAUGUCCGAAUGGGGAAACCCAGUGCAAUUCGUUGCACUAUCGUUAACUGAAUACAUAGGUUAACGAGGCGAACCGGGGGAACUGAAACAUCUAAGUACCCCGAGGAAAAGAAAUCAACCGAGAUUCCCCCAGUAGCGGCGAGCGAACGGGGAGCAGCCCAGAGUCUGAAUCAGCUUGUGUGUUAGUGGAACGGUCUGGAAAGUCCGACGGUACAGGGUGAUAGUCCCGUACACCAAAAUGCACAGGCUGUGAACUCGAAGAGUAGGGCGGGACACGUGGUAUCCUGUCUGAAUAUGGGGGGACCAUCCUCCAAGGCUAAAUACUCCUGACUGACCGAUAGUGAACCAGUACCGUGAGGGAAAGGCGAAAAGAACCCCGGCGAGGGGAGUGAAAAAGAACCUGAAACCGUGUACGUACAAGCAGUGGGAGCACCUUCGGGUGUGACUGCGUACCUUUUGUAUAAUGGGUCAGCGACUUAUAUUCUGUAGCAAGGUUAACCGUAUAGGGGAGCCGCAGGGAAACCGAGUCUUAACUGGGCGUUAAGUUGCAGGGUAUAGACCCGAAACCCGGUGAUCUAGCCAUGGGCAGGUUGAAGGUUGGGUAACACUAACUGGAGGACCGAACCGACUAAUGUUGAAAAAUUAGCGGAUGACUUGUGGCUGGGGGUGAAAGGCCAAUCAAACCGGGAGAUAGCUGGUUCUCCCCGAAAGCUAUUUAGGUAGCGCCUCGUGAAUUCAUCUUCGGGGGUAGAGCACUGUUUCGGCUAGGGGGUCAUCCCGACUUACCAACCCGAUGCAAACUACGAAUACCGAAGAAUGUUAUCACGGGAGACACACGGCGGGUGCUAACGUCCGUCGUGAAGAGGGAAACAACCCAGACCGCCAGCUAAGGUCCCAAAGUCAUGGUUAAGUGGGAAACGAUGUGGGAAGGCACAGACAGCCAGGAUGUUGGCUUAGAAGCAGCCAUCAUUUAAAGAAAGCGUAAUAGCUCACUGGUCGAGUCGGCCUGCGCGGAAGAUGUAACGGGGCUAAACCAUGCACCGAAGCUGCGGCAGCGACACUAUGUGUUGUUGGGUAGGGGAGCGUUCUGUAAGCCUGCGAAGGUGUGCUGUGAGGCAUGCUGGAGGUAUCAGAAGUGCGAAUGCUGACAUAAGUAACGAUAAAGCGGGUGAAAAGCCCGCUCGCCGGAAGACCAAGGGUUCCUGUCCAACGUUAAUCGGGGCAGGGUGAGUCGACCCCUAAGGCGAGGCCGAAAGGCGUAGUCGAUGGGAAACAGGUUAAUAUUCCUGUACUUGGUGUUACUGCGAAGGGGGGACGGAGAAGGCUAUGUUAGCCGGGCGACGGUUGUCCCGGUUUAAGCAUGUAGGCUGGUUAUCCAGGCAAAUCCGGAUAAUCAAGGCUGAGGUGUGAUGACGAGGCACUACGGUGCUGAAGUAACAAAUGCCCUGCUUCCAGGAAAAGCCUCUAAGCAUCAGGUAACAUCAAAUCGUACCCCAAACCGACACAGGUGGUCAGGUAGAGAAUACCAAGGCGCUUGAGAGAACUCGGGUGAAGGAACUAGGCAAAAUGGUGCCGUAACUUCGGGAGAAGGCACGCUGGUGUGUAGGUGAAGCCCCUGCGGGUGGAGCUGAGACCAGUCGAAGAUACCAGCUGGCUGCAACUGUUUAUUAAAAACACAGCACUGUGCAAACACGAAAGUGGACGUAUACGGUGUGACGCCUGCCCGGUGCCGGAAGGUUAAUUGAUGGGGUUAUCCGUAAGGAGAAGCUCUUGAUCGAAGCCCCGGUAAACGGCGGCCGUAACUAUAACGGUCCUAAGGUAGCGAAAUUCCUUGUCGGGUAAGUUCCGACCUGCACGAAUGGCGUAAUGAUGGCCAGGCUGUCUCCACCCGAGACUCAGUGAAAUUGAACUCGCUGUGAAGAUGCAGUGUACCCGCGGCAAGACGGAAAGACCCCGUGAACCUUUACUAUAGCUUGACACUGAACAUUGAGCCUUGAUGUGUAGGAUAGGUGGGAGGCUUUGAAGCGUGGACGCCAGUCUGCGUGGAGCCAACCUUGAAAUACCACCCUUUAAUGUUUGAUGUUCUAACGUUGGCCCCUGACCGGGGUUGCGGACAGUGUCUGGUGGGUAGUUUGACUGGGGCGGUCUCCUCCCAAAGCGUAACGGAGGAGCACGAAGGUUAGCUAAUCCUGGUCGGACAUCAGGAGGUUAGUGCAAUGGCAUAAGCUAGCUUGACUGCGAGCGUGACGGCGCGAGCAGGUGCGAAAGCAGGUCAUAGUGAUCCGGUGGUUCUGAAUGGAAGGGCCAUCGCUCAACGGAUAAAAGGUACUCCGGGGAUAACAGGCUGAUACCGCCCAAGAGUUCAUAUCGACGGCGGUGUUUGGCACCUCGAUGUCGGCUCAUCACAUCCUGGGGCUGAAGUAGGUCCCAAGGGUAUGGCUGUUCGCCAUUUAAAGUGGUACGCGAGCUGGGUUUAGAACGUCGUGAGACAGUUCGGUCCCUAUCUGCCGUGGGCGCUGGAGAAUUGAGGGGGGCUGCUCCUAGUACGAGAGGACCGGAGUGGACGCAUCACUGGUGUUCGGGUUGUCAUGCCAAUGGCACUGCCCGGUAGCUAAAUGCGGAAGAGAUAAGUGCUGAAAGCAUCUAAGCACGAAACUUGCCCCGAGAUGAGUUCUCCCUGAGACUUUAAGUCUCCUGAAGGAACGUUAAAGACGAUGACGUUGAUAGGCCGGGUGUGUAAGCGCAGCGAUGCGUUGAGCUAACCGGUACUAAUGAACCGUGAGGCUUAACCU
This 2899-nucleotide ribosomal RNA is filed under the name Klebsiella pneumoniae. RNAcentral describes it as "bacterial LSU rRNA". It matches the Rfam family "Bacterial large subunit ribosomal RNA". The record is from RNAcentral. Lineage: Bacteria; Pseudomonadati; Pseudomonadota; Gammaproteobacteria; Enterobacterales; Enterobacteriaceae.